Molecule: non-coding RNA, 72 nt
Organism: Ornithorhynchus anatinus (platypus)
Lineage: Eukaryota; Metazoa; Chordata; Mammalia; Monotremata; Ornithorhynchidae
Source: Rfam
AGCAGCGUGGCUCAGUGGAAAGAGCACGGGCUGGGCAGUCAGAGGUCUUGGGUACGAAUCCCGGCUCUGCCA